Molecule: ribosomal RNA, 484 nt
Filed under: uncultured bacterium
Lineage: Bacteria
Description: partial 16S ribosomal RNA
Rfam family: Bacterial small subunit ribosomal RNA
Source: RNAcentral
AUUGAACGCUGGCGGCAGGCCUAACACAUGCAAGUCGAGCGGAUGAAGGGAGCUUGCUCCUGGAUUCAGCGGCGGACGGGUGAGUAAUGCCUAGGAAUCUGCCUGGUAGUGGGGGAUAACGUCCGGAAACGGGCGCUAAUACCGCAUACGUCCUGAGGGAGAAAGUGGGGGAUCUUCGGACCUCACGCUAUCAGAUGAGCCUAGGUCGGUUUAGCUAGUUGGUGGGGUAAAGGCCUACCAAGGCGACGAUCCGUAACUGGUCUGAGAGGAUGAUCAGUCACACUGGAACUGAGACACGGUCCAGACUCCUACGGGAGGCAGCAGUGGGGAAUAUUGGACAAUGGGCGAAAGCCUGAUCCAGCCAUGCCGCGUGUGUGAAGAAGGUCUUCGGAUUGUAAAGCACUUUAAGUUGGGAGGAAGGGCAGUAAGUUAAUACCUUGCUGUUUUGACAUUACCAACAGAAUAAGCACCGGCUAACUUCGUG